CCUACGGGGGGCAGCAGUGGGGAAUAUUGGACAAUGGGCGAAACCCUGACGCAGCAACGCCGCGUGAGCGAAGAAGGAUUUCGGGUUGUAAACUUCUUUUCGCAGGGACGAAGCAAGUGACGGUACCUGAGGAAUAAGCCACGGCUAACUACGUACCAGCAGCCGCGGUAAUACGUAGGGGGCAAGCGUUAUCCGGAUUUACUGGGUGUAAAGGGGGUGUAGGCGGGGACGAAAGUCAGAUGUGAAACCCACGGGCUCAACCUGUGGCCUGCAUUUGAAACUGUGUGUCUUGAGUACUGGAGAGGCAGACGGAAUUCCUAGUGUAGCGGUGAAAUGCGUAGAUAUUAGGAGGAACACCAGUGGCGAAGGCGGUCUGCUGGACAGCAACUGACGCUGAGGCGCGAAAGCGUGGGGAGCAAACAGGAUUAGAUACCCGAGUAGUC
RNAcentral lists this ribosomal RNA (443 nucleotides) under uncultured bacterium. RNAcentral describes it as "partial 16S ribosomal RNA". It matches the Rfam family "Bacterial small subunit ribosomal RNA", at positions 338 to 795 of the family's 1533-position model. The record is from RNAcentral.